Molecule: ribosomal RNA, 497 nt
Filed under: uncultured bacterium
Lineage: Bacteria
Description: partial 16S ribosomal RNA
Rfam family: Bacterial small subunit ribosomal RNA
Source: RNAcentral
GAUGAACGCUGGCGGCGUGCCUAAUACAUGCAAGUCGAGCGAACAGAUGAGGAGCUUGCUCCUCUGACGUUAGCGGCGGACGGGUGAGUAACACGUGGAUAACCUACCUAUAAGACUGGGAUAACUUCGGGAAACCGGAGCUAAUACCGGAUAAUAUAUUGAACCGCAUGGUUCAAUAGUGAAAGACGGUUUUGCUGUCACUUAUAGAUGGAUCCGCGCCGCAUUAGCUAGUUGGUAAGGUAACGGCUUACCAAGGCAACGAUGCGUAGCCGACCUGAGAGGGUGAUCGGACACACGGGAACUGAGACACGGUCCAGACUCCUACGGGAGGCAGCAGUAGGGAAUCUUCCGCAAUGGGCGAAAGCGUGACGGAGCAACGCCGCGUGAGUGAUGAAGGUCUUCGGAUCGGAAAACUCUGUUAUUAGGGAAGAACAAAUGUGUAAGUAACUAUGCACGUCUUGACGGUACCUAAUCAGAAAGCCACGGCUAACUACGUG